GACGAACGCUGGCGGCGUGCUUAACACAUGCAAGUCGAACGGAAAGGCCCUGCUUUUGUGGGGUGCUCGAGUGGCGAACGGGUGAGUAACACGUGAGUAACCUGCCCUUGACUUUGGGAUAACUUCAGGAAACUGGGGCUAAUACCGGAUAGGAGCUCCUGCUGCAUGGUGGGGGUUGGAAAGUUUCGGCGGUUGGGGAUGGACUCGCGGCUUAUCAGCUUGUUGGUGGGGUAGUGGCUUACCAAGGCUUUGACGGGUAGCCGGCCUGGGAGGGUGACCGGCCACAUUGGGACUGAGAUACGGCCCAGACUCCAACGGGAGGCAGCAGUGGGGAAUAUUGCACAAGGGGCGGAAGCCUGAUGCAGCAACGCCGCGUGCGGGAUGACGGCCUUCGGGUUGUAAACCGCUUUCGCCUGUGACGAAGCGUGAGUGACGGUAAUGGGUAAAGAAGCACCGGCUAACUACGUG
Molecule: ribosomal RNA, 468 nt
Filed under: uncultured bacterium
Lineage: Bacteria
Description: partial 16S ribosomal RNA
Rfam family: Bacterial small subunit ribosomal RNA
Source: RNAcentral